UCCUUAUGCUUCUUAAUUUGGACAUCGUAGAAAGAGCACAUAUUAAAAAUGUCAGCUUCUCUUCGUCUCAUCUAUAUCUCAUAUACAAAUUGUCUCUCAUUAAAUACAAAAUAAAUGUUUGUUUUACUUCUAUUGAGGGACAUGGAAAGAGUAAAAAUAUUCAGAAAACGGAUGGAGAUUAAAUUAGCUAAAAGUGUUGCGGAAGAUAGUCACGGACAUUUUAGAGCUCAUACUUGGACU
RNAcentral lists this long non-coding RNA (240 nucleotides) under Solanum tuberosum (potato). Its description in RNAcentral is "long non-coding RNA (STUB_LNC003565)". The record is from RNAcentral. Lineage: Eukaryota; Viridiplantae; Streptophyta; Magnoliopsida; Solanales; Solanaceae.